GUGCUGAGCAGCACAUGUAAAACUGCAGUGAUUCAGAGAAGAUUGAUAAGGUCUCUGUGCAAGGAUGAUGCCCAGACUCAUAUGGAGUAUCCCACACUCUU
RNAcentral lists this small nuclear RNA (101 nucleotides) under Peromyscus maniculatus bairdii (prairie deer mouse). The record is from RNAcentral. Lineage: Eukaryota; Metazoa; Chordata; Mammalia; Rodentia; Cricetidae.